This 640-nucleotide ribosomal RNA is filed under the name uncultured bacterium. RNAcentral describes it as "bacterial SSU rRNA". It matches the Rfam family "Bacterial small subunit ribosomal RNA", at positions 77 to 753 of the family's 1533-position model. The record is from RNAcentral.
AGCUUGCUAAUAAUUCUCUAGUGGCGCACGGGUGAGUAACACGUGAGUACCUGCCCCCAAGAGUGGGAUAGCCCCGGGAAACUGGGAUUAAUACCGCAUAAAGCAAUAAAGCAGCAAUGCGCUUGGGGAUGGGCUCGCGUCCUAUUAGUUAGUUGGUGAGGUAACGGCUCACCAAGGCGAUGACGGGUAGCCGGUCUGAGAGGAUGUCCGGCCACACUGGAACUGAGACACGGUCCAGACACCUACGGGUGGCAGCAGUCGAGAAUCAUUCACAAUGGGGGAAACCCUGAUGGUGCGACGCCGCGUGGGGGAUAAGGUCUUCGGAUUGUAAACCCCUAUCAUGUGGGACAUUAAAAAGAUAGUACCACAAGAGGAAGAGACGGCUAACUCUGUGCCAGCAGCCGCGGUAAUACAGAGGUCUCAAGCGUUGUUCGGAAUCACUGGGCGUAAAGCGUGCGUAGGCGGUUUCGUAAGUCGUGUGUGAAAGGCGGGGGCUCAACCCCCGGACUGCACAUGAUACUGCGAGACUAGAGUAAUGGAGGGGGAACCGGAAUUCUCGGUGUAGCAGUGAAAUGCGUAGAUAUCGAGAGGAACACUCGUGGCGAAGGCGGGUUCCUGGACAUUAACUGACGCUGAGGCA